RNAcentral lists this ribosomal RNA (497 nucleotides) under uncultured bacterium. RNAcentral describes it as "partial 16S ribosomal RNA". It matches the Rfam family "Bacterial small subunit ribosomal RNA", at positions 28 to 507 of the family's 1533-position model. The record is from RNAcentral.
GACGAACGCUGGCGGCGUGCCUAAUACAUGCAAGUCGAGCGACCGGACGAGACACUUGCUUCUCUGAUGUUAGCGGCGGACGGGUGAGUAACACAUGGAUAACCUAACUAUAAGACUGGGCUCAAUUCGGGAACCCGUAGCUAAUUCCGGCUAAUAUUUUGAACCGUAUUGUUCAAAAGUGAAAGACGGUCUUGCUGACACUUAUAGAUGGCCCCGCGAUGCAUUAGCUAGUUGGUAAGGUAACGGCUUAACCAUGCCACGAAGCAUAGCCGACCUGAGAGGGUGAUCGGCGACGCUGGAACUGAGACAGGGUACAGAUUCCUAUGUGAGGCAGGGAUGGGUAAUCUUGCGAAAUGGGGGGAAGCCUGACGGAGCGGCGCCGCGUGAGUGAUGAAGGUCUACUGAUCUUAAAACUCUGUUAUUAGGGAAUAACAGAUGUGGAAGUUACUGAGCACAUCAUGACGUUACCAAAUCAAAAAGCCACGGCUAACUGCGUG